UGAUCCACCCAUUUACUAAAUCAAUCCACCCUAUUAUAACUAUCAUUAGGAGAAUGGAUCAUCUCCAAAAACAGUCAUUACAAUCAUAGCUUUCAUCCCGCCUUCCUCGUUUCCAGCCCCCCUCUCCCUCUUUUUAUAGCCUUCCUCAUCCCAACCCCUCUUGUUCCCUCCAUUCUUAACUCUCAUCUCAACCCCCCUCAUUCCAACUAGUUCAUGUUCCCAACUCUAUGAGUCUUAGUUGAGAGUUGUAGCAAAACACAGAUUAGCUGCAAAGCUCAAUUCACACCGCCUUGAUGUGUUAGACAAUACUCCGAAAGCGUCCCCAAUUAGAAGUACUACAAAGACCCCCGGAUGUGAUUGAUACAAUGAAGUGGUGUUCUGAUUGGAGCCCCAUGCAUCGGUAUUCCAAGAACAAAUCUGCAGAGAACAACAGCGCAUACACAUUGCACUUCGAUUAUUACAUAACGAAAUGGGGACAGCAGUAGAAUUGCCACAGAAACAAUAGGAUGAUUUGAGGCAA
Molecule: long non-coding RNA, 520 nt
Filed under: Physcomitrium patens
Lineage: Eukaryota; Viridiplantae; Streptophyta; Bryopsida; Funariales; Funariaceae
Description: long non-coding RNA (PPAT_LNC011289)
Source: RNAcentral